Hydra vulgaris (swiftwater hydra) is the source of this 349-nucleotide non-coding RNA. The record is from RefSeq and is a predicted model, not a curated record. Lineage: Eukaryota; Metazoa; Cnidaria; Hydrozoa; Anthoathecata; Hydridae.
GUUCAAGUGCCAGUGAAACGAACGAUAGAAAAAAAGAAGCAUUCAAACUGUUCGCAAAAUUUUUGGUUUGGAUACAAAAAACCAAGUGAAAAUAAUACUGGAAAGACUGUUUACCGUUUGACUCCUGUCCCAAUCUAACCUAGUGGGUUCAAAAAGAAGGGACCGCACUGGAAACAUGAGUGGAUUAAAAGGAUCAGCUCUUUUUGAAUUAAUAGUCGAAGUGGUAACCAGCUAGAAGUCGCAACCUGCUCGAAUGAAAGGAUUUCUCGACGUAAAAUUGUUAAUUUUGUUCAACAACGCCAAGAAACAGAGCUCACUCAAGAAACAGAAAAGAAAGAGAAAGAUGAAA